UACGUAGGGUCCGAGCGUUGUCCGGAAUUAUUGGGCGUAAAGAGCUCGUAGGCGGUUUGUCGCGUCUGCUGUGAAAUCCCGGGGCUCAACCCCGGACUUGCAGUGGGUACGGGCAGACUAGAGUGUGGUAGGGGAGACUGGAAUUCCUGGUGUAGCGGUGAAAUGCGCAGAUAUCAGGAGGAACACCGAUGGCGAAGGCAGGUCUCUGGGCCACUACUGACGCUGAGAAGCGAAAGCAUGGGGAGCGAACAGG
This 253-nucleotide ribosomal RNA is filed under the name uncultured bacterium. Its description in RNAcentral is "partial 16S ribosomal RNA". It matches the Rfam family "Bacterial small subunit ribosomal RNA", at positions 524 to 776 of the family's 1533-position model. The record is from RNAcentral.